UGAACGCUGGCGGCGUGCUUACCACAUGCAAGUCGACCGGCAAGGCUCCUGCUUGCAGGGGUACUCGAGUGGCGAACGGGUGAGUAACACGUGGGUGAUCUGCCCUGCACUUCGGGAUAAGCCUGGGAAACUGGGUCUAAUACCGGAUAGGACGAUGGUUUGGAUGCCAUUGUGGAAAGUUUUUCGGUGUGGGAUGAGCUCGCGGCCUAUCAGCUUGUUGGUGGGGUAAUGGCCUACCAAGGCGUCGACGGGUAGCCGGCCUGAGAGGGUGUACGGCCACAUUGGGACUGAGAUACGGCCCAGACUCCUACGGGAGGCAGCAGUGGGGAAUAUUGCACAAUGGGCGCAAGCCUGAUGCAGCGACGCCGCGUGGGGGAUGACGGCCUUCGGGUUGUAAACUCCUUUCGCUAGGGACGAAGCGUUUUGUGACGGUACCUGGAGAAGAAGCACCGGCUAACUACGUG
This 464-nucleotide ribosomal RNA is filed under the name uncultured bacterium. RNAcentral describes it as "partial 16S ribosomal RNA". It matches the Rfam family "Bacterial small subunit ribosomal RNA", at positions 30 to 507 of the family's 1533-position model. The record is from RNAcentral.